AACCCCUGUGAACAUACCACUUGUUGCCUCGGCGGAUCAGCCCGCUCCCGGUAAAACGGGACGGCCCGCCAGAGGACCCCUAAACUCUGUUUCUAUAUGUAACUUCUGAGUAAAACCAUAAAUAAAUCAAAACUUUCAACAACGGAUCUCUUGGUUCUGGCAUCGAUGAAGAACGCAGCAAAAUGCGAUAAGUAAUGUGAAUUGCAGAAUUCAGUGAAUCAUCGAAUCUUUGAACGCACAUUGCGCCCGCCAGUAUUCUGGCGGGCAUGCCUGUUCGAGCGUCAUUUCAACCCUCAAGCACAGCUUGGUGUUGGGACUCGCGUUAAUUCGCGUUCCUCAAAUUGAUUGGCGGUCACGUCGAGCUUCCAUAGCGUAGUAGUAAAACCCUCGUUACUGGUAAUCGUCGCGGCCACGCCGUUAAACCCCAACUUCUGAAUGUUGACCUCGGAUCAGGUAGGAA
RNAcentral lists this ribosomal RNA (460 nucleotides) under Fusarium oxysporum f. sp. ciceris. Its description in RNAcentral is "eukaryotic LSU rRNA". The stretch from base 131 to 284 matches the Rfam family "5.8S ribosomal RNA". Lineage: Eukaryota; Fungi; Ascomycota; Sordariomycetes; Hypocreales; Nectriaceae. The record is from RNAcentral.